Molecule: transfer RNA, 74 nt
Filed under: Bacteroidales bacterium
Lineage: Bacteria; Pseudomonadati; Bacteroidota; Bacteroidia; Bacteroidales
Description: tRNA-Arg
Rfam family: tRNA
About the family: Transfer RNA (tRNA) molecules are approximately 80 nucleotides in length. Their secondary structure includes four short double-helical elements and three loops (D, anti-codon, and T loops).
Source: RNAcentral
GGUCCCGUAGCUCAAUUGUAUAGAGCAUCUGACUUCGGAUCAGACGGUUGCAGGUUAGAAUCCUGCCGGGAUCA